GUCCAGAAGUAGCGAAACAAAGGCAGCUGUUAACAGCUCCGACUGGCCGAGGGAAAACCCAGAGGAUAAGAAAUCUCUUGAGAAGACCCAGAGCCAUGAGAUUUGCAGUCAGAUAGCCAGCCCAACUCUCAGUGACCUCUCAGAGAGAACUGAAAACGUCUGGCUGCUUGUCACAACUGAACAUCCAACCCCAUUGCUGAAGGAAACCCAUCGACCGCCUCAUUAAAAUCUCCUUGGCACAACCCAAGCUGGUCUUCCAUCACUGGGGGCAGAAGGAGCUGAGUGUGGAGGCAAUUUGUUCCUCGGAGCAUGCAUCAUUCCUCCAGUCAGGGCGUGCAUCUGGCCAGCCUGCCUUGGACUGCUUUACAGAGCCGUGGACGCUGUCCAGAGCGCUCUGCUCAGUGUCCCCGACAAGAUGGCCAUCAAAGACUGGGUUAGGGGUCAGGCACCCAAAGCCAUUAGCACUCCAAAGUGAUUGAUUACCAUCAUGUGUGGUCUCAAUCAAGAGCCGGUAAUGAGCUGCAUUCAUUAAUCCCAUUUAUAUGUUUGCAUAGUCCAGUCUUGAAUUUCAGAGAAUAAAAAGGCUUCAUACUGCGA
Molecule: long non-coding RNA, 597 nt
Organism: Cyanistes caeruleus (blue tit)
Lineage: Eukaryota; Metazoa; Chordata; Aves; Passeriformes; Paridae
Source: RefSeq, a predicted model, not a curated record